GAUGAACGCUGGCGGCGUGCCUAAAACAUGCAAGUCGAGCGAAUGGAUUGAGAGCUUGCUCUUAUGAAGUUAGCGGCGGACGGGUGAGUAACACGUGGGUAACCUGCCCAUAAGACUGGGAUAACUCCGGGAAACCGGGGCUAAUACCGGAUAACAUUUUGAACCGCAUGGUUCGAAAUUGAAAGGCGGCUUCGGCUGUCACUUAUGGAUGGACCCGCGUCGCAUUAGCUAGUUGGUGAGGUAACGGCUCACCAAGGCAACGAUGCGUAGCCGACCUGGGAGGGUGAUCGGCCACACAGGGACGGAGACACGGCCCAGACUCCUACGGGAGGCAGCAGUAGGGAAUCUUCCGCAAUGGACGAAAGUCUGACGGAGCAACGCCGCGUGAGUGAUGAAGGCUUUCAGGUCGUAAAACUCUGUUGUUAGGGAAGAACAAGUGCUAGUUGAAUAAGCUGGCACCUUGACGGUACCUAACCAGAAAGCCACGGCUAACUACGUGCCAGCAGCCGCGGUAA
This 515-nucleotide ribosomal RNA is filed under the name uncultured bacterium. RNAcentral's name for it is "partial 16S ribosomal RNA". It matches the Rfam family "Bacterial small subunit ribosomal RNA", at positions 28 to 523 of the family's 1533-position model. The record is from RNAcentral.